ACCGCAUGGUUCUACAGUGAAAGACGGUCUUGCUGUCACUUAUAGAUGGACCCGCGCCGUAUUAGCUAGUUGGUGGGGUAACGGCCUACCAAGGCGACGAUACGUAGCCGACCUGAGAGGGUGAUCGGCCACACUGGAACUGAGACACGGUCCAGACUCCUACGGGAGGCAGCAGUAGGGAAUCUUCCGCAAUGGGCGAAAGCCUGACGGAGCAACGCCGCGUGAGUGAUGAAGGUCUUCGGAUCGUAAAGCUCUGUUGUUAGGGAAGAACAAAUGUGUAAGUAACUGUGCACAUCUUGACGGUACCUAACCAGAAAGCCACGGCUAACUACGUGCCAGCAGCCGCGGUAAUACGUAGGUGGCAAGCGUUAUCCGGAAUUAUUGGGCGUAAAGCGCGCGUAGGCGGUUUUUUAAGUCUGAUGUGAAAGCCCACGGCUCAACCGUGGAGGGUCAUUGGAAACUGGAAAACUUGAGUGCAGAAGAGGAAAGUGGAAUUCCAUGUGUAGCGGUGAAAUGCGCAGAGAUAUGGAGGAACACCAGUGGCGAAGGCGGCUUUCUGGUCUGCAACUGACGCUGAUGUGCGAAAGCGUGGGGAUCAAACAGGAUUAGAUACCCUGGUAGUCCACGCCGUAAACGAUGAGUGCUAAGUGUUAGGGGGUUUCCGCCCCUUAGUGCUGCAGCUAACGCAUUAAGCACUCCGCCUGGGGAGUACGGUCGCAAGACUGAAACUCAAAGGAAUUGACGGGGACCCGCACAAGCGGUGGAGCAUGUGGUUUAAUUCGAAGCAACGCGAAGAACCUUACCAAAUCUUGACAUCCUUUGACCGCUCUAGAGAUAGAGUUUUCCUCUUCGGAGGACAAAGUGACAGGUGGUGCAUGGUUGUCGUCAGCUCGUGUCGUGAGAUGUUGGGUUAAGUCCCGCAACGAGCGCAACCCUUGAACUUAGUUGCCAUCAUUCAGUUGGGCACUCUAAGUUGACUGCCGGUGACAAACCGGAGGAAGGUGGGGAUGACGUCAAAUCAUCAUGCCCCUUAUGAUUUGGGCUACACACGUGCUACAAUGGACAAUACAAAGGGCAGCGAAACCGCGAGGUCAAGCAAAUCCCAUAAAGUUGUUCUCAGUUCGGAUUGUAGUCUGCAACUCGACUACAUGAAGCUGGAAUCGCUAGUAAUCGUAGAUCAGCAUGCUACGGUGAAUACGUUCCCGGGUCUUGUACACACCGCCCGUCACACCACGAGAGUUUGUAACACCCGAAGCCGGUGGAGUAACCAUUUUGGAGCUAGCCGUCGAAGGUGGGACAAAUGAUUGGGGUGAAGUCGUAACAAGGUAGCCGUAUCGGAAGGUGCGGCUGGAUCACCUCCUUUCUA
RNAcentral lists this ribosomal RNA (1366 nucleotides) under Staphylococcus pseudintermedius. RNAcentral's name for it is "bacterial SSU rRNA". It matches the Rfam family "Bacterial small subunit ribosomal RNA", at positions 185 to 1533 of the family's 1533-position model. Lineage: Bacteria; Bacillati; Bacillota; Bacilli; Caryophanales; Staphylococcaceae. The record is from RNAcentral.